Molecule: long non-coding RNA, 251 nt
Organism: Raphanus sativus (radish)
Lineage: Eukaryota; Viridiplantae; Streptophyta; Magnoliopsida; Brassicales; Brassicaceae
Exons: 3
Source: RefSeq, a predicted model, not a curated record
AACAGACCUAAGAUGAAGGAGCUCGCUGAUUGGUUGAAAACUGAUCCUGAUUAUUUCACUAAGGAAGAGGACAAACCACGUACAUCACCAACUUGGUGGUAUCAAAAACUCCGGACAUCCAAAGCAUGGCUGGAAGACGUACAUAUAGAUGCUUGGAUGAAUGUGCUGAGGCAGAGGUAUAAGGAGAACCCACAAUGUUUCCGGAGCGAGCGAAUGUGCUUCCUGGAUCACAACUUUACCCAGUCUUGGAG